AUUUGACCUCAAAUCAGGUAGGAGUACCCGCUGAACUUAAGCAUAUCAAUAAGCGGAGGAAAAGAAAAUAACAAUGAUUCCCCUAGUAACUGCGAGUGAAGAGGGACAAGCUCAAAUUUUAAAUCUGUUAGGUUUACCUAACCGAGUUGUAAUUUGAAGAGGCGUUUUCUGUGUUUUUGAUCAGCCCAAGUCCUUUGGGAUAGGGCAUCAUGGAGGGUGAGAAUCCCGUUCGGUUGAUCAGAUUCGCUUUACGAUACGUCAUCUAAGAGUCAAGUUGUUUGGGAUUGCAGCUUAAAAUGGGAGGUAAAUUUCUCCUAAGGCUAAAUAACGGCGAGAGACCGAUAGCGAACAAGUACCGUGAGGGAAAGAUGAAAAGAACUUUGAAAAGAGAGUUAAACAGUACGUGAAAUUGUUGAAAGGGAAACGAUUGAAGCCAGUCGUACCUUCGGGUAAUCAGCCUUUCGGGUGCGAUUCUGUGGAGCGUGGGGAGUUAAACGCCUUCAUGCCUGCAUAUUCGUGCACUUUGGGUGUACUUGCCCGUGUGGUAGGUUAACAUCAAUUUCGGAUGUCAUAAAAUGGCUGGAGGAAUGUAGCUUCGGUCUCGUACUGAAGUGUUAUAGCCUUUGGUAGAUGUGAUGACCGGGAUUGAGGAUUGCAACGAAUACCUUUUGGGCUACCCGCCUGAUCUCUGAAAGUUGCUCUGGUGCCGAAAGCUUGCUUACGGUUAUCAAAGUUGACGUUCAAAAGGUUAGAACGGGUUAAAUUCGUUAAGGAUGUUGACGUAAUGGCUUUAAACGACCCGUCUUGAAACACGGACCAAGGAGUCUAACAUAUGUGCGAGUGUUU
RNAcentral lists this ribosomal RNA (846 nucleotides) under Rhizophagus intraradices. RNAcentral describes it as "eukaryotic LSU rRNA". It matches the Rfam family "Eukaryotic large subunit ribosomal RNA", at positions 1 to 695 of the family's 3401-position model. Lineage: Eukaryota; Fungi; Glomeromycota; Glomeromycetes; Glomerales; Glomeraceae. The record is from RNAcentral.